GACGAACGCUGGCGGCGUGCCUAAUACAUGCAAGUCGAACGCUGAAGGAGGAGCUUGCUUCUCUGGAUGAGUUGCGAACGGGUGAGUAACGCGUAGGUAACCUGCCUGGUAGCGGGGGAUAACUAUUGGAAACGAUAGCUAAUACCGCAUAAGAGUAGAUGUUGCAUGACAUUUGCUUAAAAGGUGCAAUUGCAUCACUACCAGAUGGACCUGCGUUGUAUUAGCUAGUUGGUGGGGUAACGGCUCACCAAGGCGACGAUACAUAGCCGACCUGAGAGGGUGAUCGGCCACACUGGGACUGAGACGCGGCCCAGACUCCUACGGGAGGCAGCAGUAGGGAAUCUUCGGCAAUGGACGGAAGUCUGACCGAGCAACGCCGCGUGAGUGAAGAAGGUUUUCGGAUCGUAAAGCUCUGUUGUAAGAGAAGAACGAGUGUGAGAGUGGAAAGUUCACACUGUGACGGUAUCUUACCAGAAAGGGACGGCUAACUACGUG
RNAcentral lists this ribosomal RNA (495 nucleotides) under uncultured bacterium. RNAcentral describes it as "partial 16S ribosomal RNA". It matches the Rfam family "Bacterial small subunit ribosomal RNA", at positions 28 to 507 of the family's 1533-position model. The record is from RNAcentral.